UAGAUUUUGGCUUAUAUCUCUGAAAACAAAGCAUUUAGAGUAAAUCUGACAGGGUAAAACUGAUUAUCAGGUCAAGAUCUAUCUGCCCUGAAAUUUUCAGACAAAUCUGACAACCUGUUGUUGGGUUGCUGCCCCUGUAUUGGUAAUUUUAAGGAAAUUUUGCAGUUUUUGGUUAUUAUCUUGAAUAUUAUUAUAGAUAGAGAUAAACUGUAAACAGCAAUAAUGUUCAGCAAAGUAAGAUCUACAAAUAAGUUGUAAUGACCAAAAUUGUCAGUCGACCCCUUUAGGAGUUAUUGCCCUUAAUAGUCAAUUUUUAACAAUUUUUUGUAAAUUUUUGUAAUCUUUUACAAAAAUCUUCUUCUCUGAAACUACUGAGACAAAUUUAACCAUACUUGGCCAUAAUCAUUAUUAGGGUAUCUAGUUUGAAAAAUUUGUCCGAUGACCCCGCCUUCCAACCAUCAUGGCCGACUUGGUUAAAAAUAGAACAUAGGGGUAAAAUGCAGUUUUUGGUUUAUAUCUUUGAAACUAAAGCAUUUAGAGCAAAUCUGACAGGUGGCAAAAAUGUUCAUCAGAUUUAGAUUUAUCUGCCCUGAAAUUUUCAGAUAAAUCCGACAACCUGUUGUUGGGUUGCUGCCCCAUAGUUAGUAAUUUUACAAAAAUUUUGCAGUUUUUUGUUAUUAUCUUAGAUAUCAUUAUAAUAUCUAAUAUCUAAUACUAUUAAUUAUGAUUUUAACCUUAUUUUACGUGAUUUCCAAAGCAUCAGUAAAUACAGGUGAGCGACACAGGCUCUUGAGAGCCUCUAGUCAAACAUAUGGUAGUGACUCCUUACUUGAAUAAUUGUUCACCUGAAAAGAAAGAGUCAGUAGGAAUUUAGUCAAACUAUUGGUGAUUUUUUUUAUAUUUAAUUUAUGUACUACAUUAUGCCAUAUAUUUUUUACAUCAAAGUUAAUUGAUUUUGAAGUAUGAUGCCUUAAAUGUCUGCCAUUCUAAUUGGCUUUGUAACAUGCAUACAAAAACACACACACACACACACACACAUGUAUAUAUAUACAUGUAUAUAAUCAAAAUCUCUCAAAUGAAGGUAAAUAAAAUCUCCUUAAAAUAAUCCGGAGCUUUCAACCUAUCAUGCAUAUGGAUUAACAGGAUACUUACAGAGAUACUAUUCAGAGAAACUUACAAAUAUGCAAGCUGCAUGGAAUUAGUACAAAAAUAUGACGUUCUUUUUCCGGAAUUUAUUUUUGUAUUUAUGAUGUUGUUCAUUGUAAUAUAUAAUAGAAGUGUUACUAUACCAAAAAUAAAGUUCCGCUGAAGAAGACCACCAUGACCAGUCGAUGAGUUCUAGAUUAUUUUAAGAGUUUAUAUAUAUAUAAUUAUGCUUAUUUAAAUUCUUAUACCAUGUAGAGGACAUGUGUGUUUUAUACUUAUUGUAAUAUAUUUAGCUAGAAAAAAGCAAUUUGUGUGCCAUAAUUAUUAAUACCAUAAUAGUCAAUUUUGAUAUAAUCUUUUCUAGAUUUUAGCCUCAAUUCAUAUUUUCCAGUCAUAGUAGCAGAGUCUGUAGAAGCAACAUGAUACUUUACUUCAGUAUGGGACUUAGACAACCAAACUCAAACUAGGCUUAUGAUAUGAUUCGUUCCGUCUGCAUGUCUGGAUGUCAACAUUUCUGUUUCUAAGCAAAAUUUAUUGAGCUAUAAGCACUAUCUAAUCUUAAUAAAAAUUGGUUUGAUAAUGUCCCAUGGGCUAAGGAAGAGCCCUGUUAAUUAUGGGAUCGUAGGUCAAGUUCUCAGCAGCUAUUGAUCAACUGAAAUUUGGACUGAAUUUCAGUUUUCUGGAUGUAAUCUCAUUUGAUUUUGAGGUCACUAGGUCAAAGUAAAGGUCACAUGAAUUGAUAGACUGAAAUUGGGGCAAACUUUUCCAGGUUAUAACUUUUGAACCAUAUGUCGACCAUUCACCAAACUUGGCUUGAGAAUGUUUCUUGGAAAGAGCUGGCCAUGGACCCCUGUAGAUUUUUUGGUCAGUACUCUGAAUUAGUAGGUCAAAAGUCAAGGUCACAGUACCAUCAUUUUCAAUUGUCAGCAGACUUGUGUAUCAUACCCUUAACCGAUGAAAUUAAAACCAAAAUAAAAAAUCUGUUUCUUAACAACUCACCUUAUGGACUUGUGGUACUUUUAGAAUUGAUCAUAUGUGCAACAGUAGUUAAGUUGAAUUUCAUUAGAGAGUUUUGUAAGGAAAGAAAUUGUCUGUAUAACAUUACUUAAAUGAUAAUUGUAUAACUGUAUAGUUAAAAUGAACUUUUAUGCAGGUGCUCAAUUAUUACAAUUGUACAGUGGUGCUGCAUGUUAGUUGUAGUAAAUAAGUUUUCAAUCAUGUUUAUGUUGAUAAGUAGAUCUUAUAUUAUAAACAUAAAAUAACUAAUACAGUCUUUCAAGUUUGCUCAUACGUAGUCAUAGGUAAUAUUUUAUAAUAAGAAAAUAUGACAACAAAAUCAUAAUGUUUAAUUCUCAAUGAAAUGUAUAUUUUUGUCGAGUCUGCAACCUUUCUGUUGCGAAAGCAAGACAUAGCGAUCCUAGAUUAUGUUGUCAGCGUAAGCGGCGUCAACAUUUAGGUUCAGUCUGUGUUUAAAUUUUUUUUAGACAUUAAUAACUUUGUCAACAUGGUCAAACCUUAAUAGAAUUUUAUGAAAUUUGGACAGAAGCUUGUUUAUAACCAAAAUACAGUAUCCAAGGCAAAAUUUUGAAAAUAUUAAUUUUUAUUUUUCCAUAUUUUCUUGAUAAAUGGACUUAGUUUUUUUUACAGUUUACUUUCAUAUUCAAUCUGAGGUUAAAUUUAUUCAGUCAUUAAUUACUUUGUCAAACCUUCAUGGAAUUUAAUGAAAUUUGGACAGAAGCUUGUUUAUGACCAAAAUACAGUAUCUAAAGCAAAAUUUAGAAAAUAUCUAUUUUCUUUUCUCUGUAUUUUACUGAUAAAAGGACUUAGUUUUUGUUACAUUUAACAAGUAGAUACAGUCUGUGGUUAAAGAUUGUUUCACAUCAAAUACUUUGUCAAACCGUCAUAGAAUUUAUAAAACUUUUUAAUGAUUAAGAGAUAAUGUCUGAAUCAAAUUUUGAAAAUAUAUUUUCAUUUUUAGUAUUUUUCUGAUAGAUGAACUUACUUUUUUUACAGUUAACAUUUACAGACAGUCUGGGAUUAAAUUUUUUAGACAUGAUAAGUUUGUUUUUCUUCAUGGAUUGUUAUGAAACUUGGACAGAAGCUAAUCUUCAAGACCAAGAAAUAGCAUCUAAAGAGAAAGUUUGAUUUUUUUUUUAAAGUUUGUAUUUUACUGAUAAAUGGACUCACUUUUUAAGUCAACAUUACACUUUUACACUGACAACAGCAAUCGUAGGCGAGACACAGGGUUCCCUGGAACCCCUUACAAAUUUUUGAUUUAUUUUGUACAAUGUCUGAAACCACAAGGAACAAAAAAAAUAUUGACCAUUUAAUUUUACAUAGAAGAACAAAUUUUUAUCAGAUAACAAGAGUGCUUUCAUAGGUAAAUGAUUAUAUUAAAAAAUAAGACUACUCAUGUUUUGUCUCUGACAUUCUUUGUAAUUAGUUUUACCUCUUCUUUCUCUGAAUCUUGCUUCUAAAUCAUUAAAAUCAAAUUUUGGAGGUUUAAUGGCCUGGUUUAAUUUUGAUAUUGACUAAUACAUGUGACAAGGACCUCCUUAUGAAUUAUGCUAUGUAUGUACUCUGCUUUCUACAUAUUACUCAGCUUUUGUCUUAAGGAAUGGUCUGAAAACUGGUCUUGAGCUUUAUAAUGUUGAAUAUUACAAUGUAAGCUAUUGCAGAUUUGAAAAGCAGUCAAUUUCUUUUUUUUUGUAAUUCUAAAAUUUUCAUUAUACCAACUAAGCAGGAAUUUAAUGCCACAUAUUACUCAAUGUCUGUAGUCAGGAAUAAUUUUGAUAUUUGUAUGGAUCCUUAUCAUGUUGAGUUGUACUGACACUCUAUACAACAUUUAUCUCUUUAGUUAUUUCCUGUUUGAUGAUACUUUGAAUUUUUAUUUUACUUAUUGAGCAUAGAACUGUUUGUUAAUUUAAUAACAAGUGGGGGUACUGAGGAUUCAUUAUUAUUCGUUGGAUACCAAUUUUCAUGGAUCUCCUGGGUACAGGUGAACCACAAAAUUAAGUGUUCAAGGAAUUACAAAUUGUCUUUAAAAUUAUAUGCAGACUUUGGCAAAAGCAUGAAAUCAAAAAUCCACAAAAAUGCAAGUUUUCCUCAAUCCACGAAAAUCGGUACCGACGAAAAUAAAUGAAUCCACAAUAUUAUACUUUACAUGUAACUUUUUGUUUUCAUAAUAAUGAUUCAACAAACUAUUAACAUUUCUGGGACAUAUAUCCAUAGUGCCAUAUACAAUAACUUUAUAAUUUGCAUUACAUUUAUAAUAAAUUUGAAUAUACUCUUA
Mytilus californianus (California mussel) is the source of this 4438-nucleotide long non-coding RNA. RefSeq lists it as uncharacterized. The transcript has 2 exons. NCBI's taxonomy places the organism in Eukaryota, Metazoa, Mollusca, Bivalvia, Mytilida, Mytilidae. The record is from RefSeq and is a predicted model, not a curated record.